Molecule: ribosomal RNA, 483 nt
Filed under: uncultured bacterium
Lineage: Bacteria
Description: partial 16S ribosomal RNA
Rfam family: Bacterial small subunit ribosomal RNA
Source: RNAcentral
GACGAACGCUGGCGGCGUGCUUAACACAUGCAAGUCGAACGAUGAAGCUGGAGCUUGCUCCGGUGGAUUAGUGGCGAACGGGUGAGUAACACGUGAGCAAUCUGCCCUUCACUCUGGGAUAACUGCGGGAAACUGUAGCCAAUACCGGAUACGAGGCUUGGAGGCAUCUCCAGGUCUGGAAAGAAUUUCGGUGAAGGAUGAGCUCGCGGCCUAUCAGCUUGUUGGUGAGGUAAUGGCUCACCAAGGCGACGACGGGUAGCCGGCCUGAGAGGGUGACCGGCCACACUGGGACUGAGACACGGCCCAGACUCCUACGGGAGGCAGCAGUGGGGAAUAUUGCACAAUGGGCGAGAGCCUGAUGCAGCAACGCCGCGUGAGGGAUGAAGGCCUUCGGGUUGUAAACCUCUUUUAGCAGGGAAGAAGCGAAAGUGACGGUACCUGCAGAAAAAGCACCGGCUAACUACGUGCCAGCCGCCGCGGUAA